Molecule: non-coding RNA, 5214 nt
Organism: Sus scrofa (pig)
Lineage: Eukaryota; Metazoa; Chordata; Mammalia; Artiodactyla; Suidae
Source: RefSeq, a predicted model, not a curated record
AGCAGCUGUAGCUCUGAUUUGACCCCUAGCCUGGGAACUUCCGUAUACCACGGUAUAGCCCCCAAAAAGCAUAAAAAACAAAAAGAAAAAAAAAGAAAAAAAGGCUAGUAUGUCCCCACGUGUUUUAUGUACCUCUUAUUUAUGGUCACAAAAAUCCCACAUGAUAGAUAGGAUUAUUACCCCUCUCUCUUUUUUAAAAGAUGGGGAAAUUAAGUUUCAAAGAGAUUAAUGUAACUUGAUAAUUGUACUGAGCUAACAAUUGAUGGAGUAUCUGGCUUUAAAGUUUGAGUCCUUCUAGUCUAUCACAAUAUGUGUAUUCCCUUUGUAAAUUACUGAAUUUUCAUUUGUGUAUUGAGCUACUAGCUUCUUACACAAAAGUGAUGGCAACUCUGUGAAUACUGUCUCUCUAUCAAACAUAUGUAAUUAAUAUGGCAUCUAUUGCAUAUUUUCAAAACAGAAUUUUACCAAUAAACUGAACAGUUAACUUGAUUAACUGCUUAUACUUCACCAGAUUUAUAUAUUGUCAAUUACUACAAUAAGGGUUAUUUUUCCAUUAAGAAUGGAUAUUAUUCUUUAAAAAUUCUGCAUUCAAAAAUUCAUUUCAAUAAAUUAAUGUAUUAAUUAUUUUACCGAGCACAGUGAGAGAUAAUGAAGGAGGUAACAAUCAUGGAAGAAAUAUAUUAAUAUUAAAUAUUUACCACAUAACUCAUCCUUAUUGGACACAGCUGUCGAUAAAAUAUGCCCUUACUGUUGACAAGUAGCUCCUGUGUUUUGCUUGUAGAUUAGCUUGCAGCCCUGCUCUGUAUUCUUUAUCUUCAUCACUGCACCAGUCCUUUAAUUAGGCAGUGAAAUCUUCUGCAUAGUGAUUAGGAAAUCACAGUUAAGAAGGUGUUACAAAGGGAUGUUUCUGGAAGCUACUCAAAACAGCUCCAUGCCUUGGAAAUUCCUCCAUGUACAGUAUCCAGGAAACAUGUUCAUAUUUCAAAAGCAAGUGACAACUGACCUGCAGUUAAUCAGGUUUACAAAAUUUGUAGUCCUCAAUCCUGAGACAUUAGGUGUAACUAGGAAAAGUCUUGAACCAUGGUUGGUAAAGGAUGGCAACUUCAUUAUCCAACCUGUGAAAUGAGGUGGUGAAGCACUUUUGUGUUUGGAAUUUAAACUGAAUUUAGAAUCCAAGAGUAUAUUUGAUAAUGUGCAAAUAGUUUUGUUACUAUUGAAUACUAGUAAAAUUUGAAAAUAGACCUUAGAAAAUUGAGAAACUGAUCCAUUUUCAUAGUUAUCCCAUUAUCAACACAUAAAAAUUAUACUUUAUAAGUACUGAUUUCAGAAUCAAAAUUUAUGAUUUCAGAAUUCAAAAAAAUAAUUGGAGUUCCCAUUGUAUCUAAGUGGGUUAAAAACCUUACACAGUGUCCAUGUGGAUGUGAAUUUGAUCCCUUGCCUCGCUCAAUGGGUUAAGGAUCCAGCGUUGCCAAAAGCUGUGGUUUAGGUUGCAAAUGCAGCUUGGAUCCAGUGUUGCUGUGGCUGUGGUAUAGGCCAGCACCUGCAGUUCUGAUUUGACCCCUAGCGCAGGAACUUCCAUAUGCCUCAGGUGUGGCUGUAAAAAGAAAUAAAAAUUAUUACUGACCAAGGUAAAUAUGAAUCCUAAAAGACCAUGGGAUUCAAGGAACAGGUAAUAUUUACAGAUAAUUUUUUCACUUCAGAGAAAUUAUUUUCAUUAAUAUAACCUGUAAAUUCAAAUAUAACCUUCCAAGUUACUAUUAUACAAACCAAGGUAGGAAAAAUGUUGAGGAAAAAUAUUGAGGCUAUGAGAAAUUAUAAAAAUUUAAUAAAUUUGUCAAGGAAAGCUGAACACUAAUUAGCAUAUUUGAUAUUUUUUCAUUUUUUUAUGCAUUGGAGAAGGUUGCUAUUUUUAAAGUCUUGUUUUCUGUGAUUUGGAGAAACUUCUAGAGAUGGCCAAGAUAAUGAAACAUAGAUCAUGUUGUAGAGAUGCAGAUAUUAACAUAAUUUUUGUUAACCUAAUACAUCAAUGUAGGCUAUGAAGAAAAUAUUAUGGAAAAUACUUCAGAAAAAUUAAAAACGUUGCAAUCAGGAUUUUAUAGGCAAUCAUAUAUUUUAAAGUGGUUAAAAUAAUAUUAUUUGACAAAAUUUAUGAAAAAGGCAUGCAAAUAAACAUUUUUUCACCAACAUAAUUCUUUCAAUCUAAUUCCAGUUUUUUCAAAUAAUGAUCAGGUUUUUUUUGGUGAAUAAUUUUAUCUCAUAGUCACCUAUGGAGACAGUUUUUGACCUUUAAGUCUGUUAAGGAUCACUCCUGGGGCAGUUCAUAGUCUUUCUCUUUCUCAUAGAUUUUUUUUCUCUGAUUCAGUAGUGGAGUAUGUAUUCUUUCUCACCAAGCGGUAAAGGAUGGUUCUUAAGUGUAAAGGCUAUGGAUCCAAAUUUCCUGGACAGAAACCUCAGCCUCAACCACUUGGACAAACUCUAUAGUGUAUCCAUGCCCCAAGUUUCUCAUCUGAAAGAUAGAAGUUAUAAUCAUCUGUGUAGGGUUGUGUUGAUGAAGUAAAUUAAUAUAGAUUAAGUUCUUGGAACAGUAUCUGGCAAAUGGUAGGCACUUUUCUAGGUACUAUUCUAUUUCUAGGCCAAUAGCGCUAACUAAUGGGUUGUUUUAGUUUGCUUUCCUGAUGCAUUUUUCAUAGUGUUGGGUCUUCUCCCCACAAUCUAAUGAAGAAUAUAAAAAGGAAAGGAGACCACGUGGGAGGGAUAGUUAAAUUAUUGAAGUAAAAAUUCCAUUUCAGGAUCUUUGAUAUGUAUGUAUUUGAAGUAUUCUACUCUGUUAGACUCUCUCAAUUCAGACAUUCUCAUUCAUCUUUUCCAGAGAGUAAACCACUUGCUUUGACGUGGGUAGAAUAGGAAAGCUGCAUUUGUUGACGGACUGAACACACAUUAAACCCUUUUCACAGCCAUUUCCAUUUUUAAUGGGGAGGAUUCCACCAAAGCCCAAGCUUGGGAACUUUUUGCUGUGUAAAUCAAUUUGGUUCUCAACUUUACCAACUACCAGUUUAGAAUUCUGUUUUUUCCCAAGGAUCUGAUAAGCCAUACAUCAUUUUUUCCUGUUUUCCAGUUUACAAAUGUUCCUCCUCUUCUUCCCUCUCUUCUAUUUCCCUUAAUUUGAGUAUUUUUGCCUUUUUAUAACACUAUUCGGCUUUCUCAGGGGCUUGAGGAGGAGGUAAAAAGGAAAAGUAUGUAUCCAAUCAAGGGUUUUGACCCCAAAGCCAAAGGAAUACUUUUCAGAACAGUAUUUGAAAAUAAUUUGAGGAUAUUUAAUGCCAUUUACAGUUGUUUCAUAAAAAACUCUGCUGAUAUUCUGCCAAAUUUUCCAGCUCCUUAGAGGGUGAAUAUUGCUUAAAAUUAUAGCUUCAGAGUAUGGUAUUUUUUUCAGGCAACCACGUAUACUAACCAGAGGCUUACAUAAGGCCCUGGUGAUUGAGGUAUUUGAGAGCCAUUGCCUCACAUGUGUUCAUCAUCUUUCCUUGGCCUCAGGCUUUGAACUCUCUUGCUUAUGGACUGAAGGAGCAAUUGAAUAGUUUAAGAUAUGGAGAAAUAUAUUUUAUUUUCAUUUCUCCUUUUAGGCCACAUAAACAAGGCUAACAUUCUUUAGCGUUAGAAUUCCUAUAUAAUUCCCAUUAAAUGUGGAGGAAGCAAUUUCUGUUUCAAAACUUAACCUGCUUUUAAAAUUCAUUUCGUCAAGUUGUUCCCAAAAGAUAAAAUAAGAACAGAGGGUAGUUAGUGGAGAGGAGGUAGUGCUAGUUUUCCUAAUUUUUGUGCAUACACAUUCAAUUUUUCAGAAAUUUUUGGUUAAAGCCAAGUUAACUUAAUUGAAUGAGACUUUUUUUUUUUUUAAUCCAGAGUGGGGGAAAGGAGGUAAAACUGUGAGGCGUAAUUAUUUCUAGCUCUGCACUCAGUUCUUUUAUUUGCCAUGUAAGAGUCACAGGGAUUAUGUUGAAUGGAGGCUGCUUGUUGAGUUUCCAUUUCUGUUGAAUAGCUGGAACUACAAAGUGGCUGUGGACCAAGGACUGGGUAGAUUAAUAGUUUAUGGAGACCAAGAACACCAUUAACAAUAGUCACAAAACCUGAGUUCAAAUCCAGCAAUGCCUUGAAACUGGGGGUCCCAGACACUUUAUCUAAACUCUCUUAGCUCUAGUACUCUUAUUUAUGAAACAUCAUUAAAUAUACUACCUUCCUUGCUUUCCUUAAGUACUGUAAUGAAAAUCAAGCUAGUUUUUACUAAUAAAAGUAAUUGAAACUUGUGAUAUGUAAUAUUCAAAUUUAUUUUAUCUUCCUUACCCAUAAUAGUCAGAAUUCCUUACCCAUAUUAGAGAAACAGAAACAGCAAAAUGUGUACAUAUGGGGGAGAGCAAGGUGUCCGUGAGGAUUAUGAUUUUCUUGGUAGAUGGAGUGAGCCAGACUCCGUACCAGUGAGUCUGGGAUUGGGGGCAGCUGGGGCACCAGCUGUUUGUCAUCCCAGAACUCCCCUACCUGCUGCUUAAAACUCUGGAGUUCUCGCGAGAUCUGGCUGCUUCUGGGACAAGCAGAAAUUGAAAAUGGAGAAAAGUAAAGGGAGGAGAGGGGAGAGAUUGAUUUUUAAGGAGUUGCUAGUGGGGUUGCAGAGGCUUGGUAAAGCCAAUUUAAGAUUGGUGGGUUGGCAGGCUGAAGAUCCAGGGAAGAGUUGCAGUUCUAAUCCAAAGGCCGUCUGCGCGCAGUUCUUCCUGCUUAGAGGAGGUAUUUAACACGGCCAUACAGAAAACCUAUUUAAUGACAUUCCAUUUUCAGCUCGCAUGGUACUUUGGAAGGAGGUUAGCAGCUUGAUUACUUAAGACUUUUGCCUGAAGGUAUGUUUUUUUCAAAUUCCAAGAGGCAAGAAUACCACACUGUCAAAAAAAAUCAUGUUUCUUGUUUCUUAAUAGCUAAAAAACAUUAAAAGUUCACUUUUCCAUGGUUAACUGGUCUCAUCCUUUUUUUUACAUACCAGUAUUUGUUAUUUAUAGAAAAUUCUCUAUUAAUAGUCCUUAACACCUGCCUUGCAAAAUCUUUAUAUAUUCAAAGAAGGGAGAGAUUUAAGCAGAUGCAACAGAAGAAAGGGUGGGGGGGAAAAUUGUAAUUGCAAUGUAUACAUGUAAGGAUAACCUGACCCCCUUGCUGUACAGUGGGAAAAUAAAAAAA